RNAcentral lists this long non-coding RNA (604 nucleotides) under Homo sapiens (human). Its description in RNAcentral is "HSALNT0123236". The record is from RNAcentral. Lineage: Eukaryota; Metazoa; Chordata; Mammalia; Primates; Hominidae.
GUGAGAGGUCUCCUGCACACCCACUGAACCACCUGCUCCCCCUGGUGACUUCUCUACAGAAGCCUGAGCCAUGUCUCUAAUGCAUGAAUCUCAUCAUGUUACUCCCCCAUUUACAUCACUUCUCCUUGCCUCGGGGAUUAAGUCCAAACUCCUUAACAGCCCCCGCUCUGCCCUGCCUUGCAAGGCAGCCUCACUGCUUGCCCCUCUCCAUUUCACCUGCUAUGGAGUCCAACUGAGCCUCAUCUACCCCCUGAAUGCACACUCUUUCUCCUCUGGGAGUCUCUGAAGUGGGUGAUAUCCUCUGCUUAUAAUAUGCUUCCCCUUAAACCUCUACUCUCUUCCUGGCUAGCUUCGGCUCCUCUGUCACUUGUCCGCUUUGGCAUCACCUCCUCAUGGAAGACUUCCUUGACUCCUCAGAUUCUCAGGAGCAUGGCAGAAAGCAAGGAAGCCAUCAAAGUCCAACAGGAUCACAUCAAAAAGACGUAAGAGUCAACUUGAAGAGAUAAUUAUUAACCUAGAUGAGACAACGUAAGCAUCCAAAACAAUAAAGACUGCAAUGGCCUGAAAUACAUCAAAUGCAAACAAUAAUCUAUGAGUUCAUAAU